This 785-nucleotide ribosomal RNA is filed under the name uncultured Pelagibacteraceae bacterium. Its description in RNAcentral is "bacterial SSU rRNA". It matches the Rfam family "Bacterial small subunit ribosomal RNA", at positions 44 to 877 of the family's 1533-position model. Lineage: Bacteria; Pseudomonadati; Pseudomonadota; Alphaproteobacteria; Candidatus Pelagibacterales; Candidatus Pelagibacteraceae. The record is from RNAcentral.
ACGCCUAAUACAUGCAAGUCGAACGAAGUAGCAAUACUUAGUGGCAGACGGGUGAGUAACAUGUAGGUAUCUACCCUUUGGCCUGGAAUAACACGAGGAAACUUGUGCUAAUACCGGAUAAGUCUUUACGGAGAAAGCUUUACGCACCAUUGGAUGAGCCUGCACUUGAUUAGUUUGUUGGUGGGGUAAUGGCCUACCAAGACAAUGAUCAAUAGCUGAUUUGAGAGGAUGAUCAGCCACAUUGGGACUGAGACACGGCCCAAACUCCUACGGGAGGCAGCAGUAGGGAAUCUUGCACAAUGGAGGAAACUCUGAUGCAGCGAUGCCGCGUGAGUGAAGAAGGCCCUUGGGUUGUAAAGCUCUUUCGUCGGGGAAGAAAAUGACUGUACCCGAAUAAGAAGGUCCGGCUAACUUCGUGCCAGCAGCCGCGGUAAUACGAAGGGACCUAGCGUAGUUCGGAAUUACUGGGCUUAAAGAGUUCGUAGGUGGUUAAAAAAGUUGGUGGUGAAAUCCCAGAGCUUAACUCUGGAACUGCCAUCAAAACUUUUUAGCUAGAGUAUGAUAGAGGAAAACAGAAUUUCUAGUGUAGAGGUGAAAUUCGUAGAUAUUAGAAAGAAUACCGAUUGCGAAGGCAGUUUUCUGGAUCAUUACUGACACUGAGGAACGAAAGCAUGGGUAGCGAAGAGGAUUAGAUACCCUCGUAGUCCAUGCCGUAAACGAUGUGUGUUAGACGUUGGAAAUUUAUUUUCAGUGUCGCAGCGAAAGCGAUAAACACACCGCCUGGG